UCCCUUGUAGCUCAGUCGGUAAAGAAUCUGCCUGUAAUGCAGGAGACCCAGGUUCAAUCCCUGGGUCGGGAC
RNAcentral lists this transfer RNA (72 nucleotides) under Ovis aries (sheep). It matches the Rfam family "tRNA". From Rfam's summary of the family: Transfer RNA (tRNA) molecules are approximately 80 nucleotides in length. Their secondary structure includes four short double-helical elements and three loops (D, anti-codon, and T loops). Further hydrogen bonds mediate the characteristic L-shaped molecular structure. tRNAs have two regions of fundamental functional importance: the anti-codon, which is responsible for specific mRNA codon recognition, and the 3' end, to which the tRNAs corresponding amino acid is attached (by aminoacyl-tRNA synthetases). tRNAs cope with the degeneracy of the genetic code in two manners: having more than one tRNA (with a specific anti-codon) for a particular amino acid; and 'wobble' base-pairing, i.e. permitting non-standard base-pairing at the 3rd anti-codon position. Lineage: Eukaryota; Metazoa; Chordata; Mammalia; Artiodactyla; Bovidae. The record is from Rfam by way of RNAcentral.